GAUGAACGCUAGCUACAGGCUUAACACAUGCAAGUCGAGGGGUAACGAGAGGAAAGCUUGCUUUCCUUGUCGACGACCGGCGCACGGGUGAGUAACGCGUAUCCAACCUGCCCCCAACUAGGGAAUAACCUUGCGAAAGUAAGACUAACACCCUAUAAUUUCCUCAGAUGUCAUCUGACGAGGAAUAAAGAUUUAUCGGUUGUGGAUGGGGAUGCGUCUGAUUAGCUUGUUGGCGGGGUAACGGCCCACCAAGGCAACGAUCAGUAGGGGUUCUGAGAGGAGGGUCCCCCACAUGGGAACUGAGACACGGUCCAAACUCCUACGGGAGGCAGCAGUGAGGAAUAUUGGUCAAUGGGCGGAAGCCUGAACCAGCCAAGUAGCGUGCAGGAUGACGGCCCUAUGGGUUGUAAACUGCUUUUAUACAGGAAUAAAGUUAGCCACGUGUGGUUAUUUGUAGGUACUGUAUGAAUAAGGACCGGCUAAUUCCGUGCCAGCAGCCGCCGUAA
RNAcentral lists this ribosomal RNA (506 nucleotides) under uncultured bacterium. RNAcentral describes it as "partial 16S ribosomal RNA". It matches the Rfam family "Bacterial small subunit ribosomal RNA", at positions 28 to 523 of the family's 1533-position model. The record is from RNAcentral.